This 379-nucleotide ribosomal RNA is filed under the name uncultured organism. Its description in RNAcentral is "partial 16S ribosomal RNA". It matches the Rfam family "Bacterial small subunit ribosomal RNA", at positions 527 to 896 of the family's 1533-position model. The record is from RNAcentral.
GUAGGGUGCGAGCGUUAUCCGGAAUCAUUGGGGCGUAAAGAGCUCGUAGGCGGUUCAGCAAGUCGGGCUGUGAAAGUCCCGAGGGCUCAACCUCGGGAACUGCAGUCGAUACUGCUGUGACUCGAGUCCGGUAGAGGAGAAUGGAAUUCAGGGUGUAGCGGUGAAAUGCGCAGAUAUCCUGAGGAACACCAGUAGCGAAGGCGGUUCUCUGGGCCGGCACUGACGCUGAGGAGCGAAAGCGUGGGUAGCAAACAGGAUUAGAUACCCUGGUAGUCCACGCCGUAAACGUUGGACACUAGGUGUGGCGUUCCGACCAACGGGUGCCGUGCCGAAGCUAACGCAUUAAGUGUCCCGCCUGGGGAGUACGGCCGCAAGGCUA